UGUUCUGUGGCUUAGUUGGUUAAAGCACCGGUCUAGCGAAUACGGAGUCGUGGGUUCGUAUCCAACAAGAACGC
Aedes albopictus (Asian tiger mosquito) is the source of this 74-nucleotide non-coding RNA. Lineage: Eukaryota; Metazoa; Arthropoda; Insecta; Diptera; Culicidae. The record is from Rfam.